This 786-nucleotide ribosomal RNA is filed under the name uncultured bacterium. RNAcentral's name for it is "bacterial SSU rRNA". It matches the Rfam family "Bacterial small subunit ribosomal RNA", at positions 8 to 796 of the family's 1533-position model. The record is from RNAcentral.
AGAGUUUGAUCCUGGCUCAGAUUGAACGCUGGCGGCAUGCCUUACACAUGCAAGUCGAACGGUAACAGGUUAAGCUGACGAGUGGCGAACGGGUGAGUAAUAUAUCGGAACGUGCCCAGUAGUGGGGGAUAGCCCGGCGAAAGCCGGAUUAAUACCGCAUACGACCUACGGGUGAAAGGGGGGGAUCGCAAGACCUCUCGCUAUUGGAGCGGCCGAUAUCAGAUUAGCUAGUUGGUGGGGUAAAAGCUCACCAAGGCGACGAUCUGUAGCUGGUCUGAGAGGACGACCAGCCACACUGGGACUGAGACACGGCCCAGACUCCUACGGGAGGCAGCAGUGGGGAAUUUUGGACAAUGGACGCAAGUCUGAUCCAGCCAUGCCGCGUGCGGGAAGAAGGCCUUCGGGUUGUAAACCGCUUUUGUCAGGGAAGAAAAGUUUGGGGCUAAUAACCUCGGAUGAUGACGGUACCUGAAGAAUAAGCACCGGCUAACUACGUGCCAGCAGCCGCGGUAAUACGUAGGGUGCAAGCGUUAAUCGGAAUUACUGGGCGUAAAGCGUGCGCAGGCGGUUCUAUAAGACAGAUGUGAAAUCCCCGGGCUCAACCUGGGAACUGCAUUUGUGACUGUAGAGCUGGAGUACGGCAGAGGGGGAUGGAAUUCCGCGUGUAGCAGUGAAAUGCGUAGAUAUGCGGAGGAACACCGAUGGCGAAGGCAAUCCCCUGGGCCUGUACUGACGCUCAUGCACGAAAGCGUGGGGAGCAAACAGGAUUAGAUACCCUCGUAGUCC